GGGGUUGUAGCUCAGUGGCAGAGCACUUGCCUAGCAUGUGUGAGGCACUGGGUUCAAUUCUCAGCACCA
This 69-nucleotide transfer RNA is filed under the name Marmota marmota marmota (Alpine marmot). It matches the Rfam family "tRNA". From Rfam's summary of the family: Transfer RNA (tRNA) molecules are approximately 80 nucleotides in length. Their secondary structure includes four short double-helical elements and three loops (D, anti-codon, and T loops). The record is from Rfam by way of RNAcentral. RNAcentral also lists the same sequence under 4 other names. Lineage: Eukaryota; Metazoa; Chordata; Mammalia; Rodentia; Sciuridae.